This 484-nucleotide ribosomal RNA is filed under the name uncultured bacterium. RNAcentral describes it as "partial 16S ribosomal RNA". It matches the Rfam family "Bacterial small subunit ribosomal RNA", at positions 29 to 507 of the family's 1533-position model. The record is from RNAcentral.
AGUGAACGCUGGCGGCAGGCCUAACACAUGCAAGUCGAGCGGAAGCGCGGGGACAACCCUGGCCGCGUGCGGCCGACGGACGAGGAAUUAGUCGGUGGAUGCCCUACCGUGAGGGCUAACGUAACGAAACGAAAGCUAAUAUCGCAUACGUUAUAAGUGUGAACGGGGGGGACCGCAAGUGAUAACGCAUCUAGAUGAGCCGACGAGAGAUUAGCUAUUUGGUGUGGUAAAGGCGUACCAAGGCGACGAACGGUAGCUGGUCUGAGAGGAUGAUCGGCCACACUGGAACUGAGACACGGCCCAGACUCCUACGGGAGGCAGCAGUGGGGAAUAUUGGGCAAUGGGCGCAAGCCUGAUCCAGCAAUGCCGCGUGAGUGAAGAAGGCCUUCGGGUUGUAAAGCUCUUUUGUCCGGAAAGAAAACACGGGUGCUAAACCCUUCGGAGCAUGACGGUACCGAAACAGUAAGCCCCGGCUAACUUCGUG